GCUAAAAAGUCGUCUCAGUUCGGAUCGGAGUCUGCAACUCGACUCCGUGAAGUUGGAAUUGCUAGUAAUCGGGGGUCAGCACACCCCGGUGAAUACGUUCCCGGGCCUUGUACACACCGCCCGUCAAGCCAUGAAAGCCAGGAGUACCCGAAGCCGCCUUAUAAGCGUCUAAGGUAAGACUGGUGAUUGGGGCUAAGUCGUAACAAGGUAGCCGUACCGGAAGGUGCGGCUGGAUCACCUCCUUU
Molecule: ribosomal RNA, 245 nt
Filed under: Bacteroidota bacterium
Lineage: Bacteria; Pseudomonadati; Bacteroidota
Description: partial 16S ribosomal RNA
Rfam family: Bacterial small subunit ribosomal RNA
Source: RNAcentral